GUGGGUAUAGCUCAGUGGUAGAGUGCAUGCUUAGCAUGCAUGAGGUCCUGGGUUCAAUCCCCCAGUACCUCCA
This 73-nucleotide transfer RNA is filed under the name Camelus bactrianus (Bactrian camel). It matches the Rfam family "tRNA". From Rfam's summary of the family: Transfer RNA (tRNA) molecules are approximately 80 nucleotides in length. Their secondary structure includes four short double-helical elements and three loops (D, anti-codon, and T loops). The record is from Rfam by way of RNAcentral. RNAcentral also lists the same sequence under 1 other name. Lineage: Eukaryota; Metazoa; Chordata; Mammalia; Artiodactyla; Camelidae.